AAUAAUUUAAGAAAAUAUUCUGUUAAUUUUCAAAGUUAAAAGUGCUAAAAAGAUUU
Molecule: transfer RNA, 56 nt
Filed under: Parachtes ignavus
Lineage: Eukaryota; Metazoa; Arthropoda; Arachnida; Araneae; Dysderidae
Description: tRNA-Trp
Source: RNAcentral